This 516-nucleotide ribosomal RNA is filed under the name uncultured Actinomycetes bacterium. Its description in RNAcentral is "bacterial SSU rRNA". It matches the Rfam family "Bacterial small subunit ribosomal RNA", at positions 360 to 875 of the family's 1533-position model. Lineage: Bacteria; Bacillati; Actinomycetota; Actinomycetes. The record is from RNAcentral.
AAUAUUGCACAAUGGGCGCAAGCCUGAUGCAGCGACGCCGCGUGAGGGAUGACGGCCUUCGGGUUGUAAACCUCUUUCAGUAGGGAACAAGGCUAGUCGUUGACUGGUUGAGGGUACUUGCAGAAGAAGCGCCGGCUAACUACGUGCCAGCAGCCGCGGUAAUACGUAGGGCGCAAGCGUUAUCCGGAAUUAUUGGGCGUAAAGAGCUCGUAGGCGGUUUGUCGCGUCUGCCGUGAAAGUCCGGGGCUCAACCCCGGAUCUGCGGUGGGUACGGGCAGACUAGAGUGAUGUAGGGGAGACUGGAAUUCCUGGUGUAGCGGUGAAAUGCGCAGAUAUCAGGAGGAACACCGAUGGCGAAGGCAGGUCUCUGGGCAUUAACUGACGCUGAGGAGCGAAAGCAUGGGGAGCGAACAGGAUUAGAUACCCUGGUAGUCCAUGCCGUAAACGUUGGGCACUAGGUGUGGGGGACAUUCCACGUUUUCCGCGCCGUAGCUAACGCAUUAAGUGCCCCGCCUG